AGCAGUGUACAAGAAAAUUAAAAGGUAUACAAGUAUUGACAAACCAAACAAAAAUGAUUUAGGUAUUUUAAUGAUGGAGAGCCCAAUUUCAAGCCCAAUUCAAUUUGUAACGUUGCCAGUUUGAUGAUUCACACUCUUAGGCCAGUAAUUCUCAACAUGGUAUCAGAAAAGUAAGGCCCAAUGGCCAUAGAUCCAAGACCCAAAAACUUGUUGGGCAGAGCCCGAGCGAGCCAAACCCAUGAGCUAAGCCCCAGUGAGCCAAACUUAGGUGAAAUCAUGGGCUAGCCCACUGAGCUAGACCUUGAGGUUAAAGCCAAGAGGAGCUAGAUCCACGUUAGUUGGGCCACCCUAUGAAAUGGCAAUUGACAAGUGGGCCUGUGAGCUUGAGUUGAGCCUAGUUGCACUUGAGGGGGAGUGUUGGAAUAUGGCUUGUGGGAACAAGCCUCACAUUGAUAGUGGACAAGAAAAUUAAUGGGCAUAUGAGUGUAGGCAAACUAAACCAACAUUUUGGUAAUGCUGAAUCCAGUUUCAAACCAUAUUUAGUACGGAGACUAUUUAUUAGUCCACAAUCCUUGGCCUUCAAUUCCAAUAGUGAUAUCUAGUUAAUUAAAAGAUUGGUAGUUGUCUAGCAAGAUAAUAGUAGUGGGAGCAACCAAAAAAAGUGAAACGAGGACAAACUUCAUGACCUCCAAAUGUUUUAGCACCACAUCUUGUUGGACAUAAAUUAAGAGAAUAAUAGAAGCAUAUUUAUAAAGUAAAAUAGUAUUAAAAAAUUAUUUAAAUAGUAUUAAAAAAUUAUUUAAAAUUUUCUUUUGUGGUUCUACAUCAAAAAUGGGUUGAGUUUUAUCUUGUUGCUAAAUUGCUUCAUUCUUUAAUGCCUUCAAAACCAUUAAGUCUAUGCACCCAUCCUUUGUGUUUCUUGGUCUACAUGGGCCAUUGUUCAUUGUAAUAAAGACCAAAAGAAAGAAAUGUCACAUGUUGCCAAAACUUUUGCUUUAGGAUAUUACCAUGGAACCAACAUUUGGUAGUUGAGAUCCCAAUCACGGGACCU
RNAcentral lists this unclassified non-coding RNA (1051 nucleotides) under Hevea brasiliensis (rubber tree). The record is from RNAcentral. Lineage: Eukaryota; Viridiplantae; Streptophyta; Magnoliopsida; Malpighiales; Euphorbiaceae.